Molecule: ribosomal RNA, 460 nt
Filed under: uncultured bacterium
Lineage: Bacteria
Description: partial 16S ribosomal RNA
Rfam family: Bacterial small subunit ribosomal RNA
Source: RNAcentral
CCUACGGGAGGCAGCAGUGAGGAAUAUUGGUCAAUGGACGCAAGUCUGAACCAGCCAUGCAGCGUGCAGGAAGACUGCUCUAUGAGUUGUAAACUGCUUUUAUACGAGGGUAAACCCAUAUACGCGUGUCUUUCUGAAAGUAUCGUACGAAUAAGGAUCGGCUAACUCCGUGCCAGCAGCCGCGGUAAUACGGAGGAUUCAAGCGUUAUCCGGAUUUAUUGGGUUUAAAGGGUGCGUAGGCGGUCUGAUAAGUUAGUUGUGAAAGUCCGAGGCUCAACCUUGGAAUUGCAUCUGAAACUGUUAGGCUAGAGAGCAGUUGCGGUAGGCGGAAUGUAUGGUGUAGCGGUGAAAUGCUUAGAGAUCAUACAGAACACCGAUUGCGAAGGCAGUUCACCAAGCUACUUCUGACACUGAGGCACGAAAGCGUGGGGAGCAAACAGGAUUAGAUACCCUGGUAGUC